GACGAACGCUGGCGGCGUGCUUAACACAUGCAAGGUCGAGCGGUAAGGCCCUUUCGGGGGUACACGAGCGGCGAACGGGUGAGUAACACGUGGGUGACCUGCCCUCAGCUCUGGGAUAAGCCUGGGAAACCGGGUCUAAUACCGGAUAUGACUCCAUGACGCAUGUUGUGGGGUGGAAAGCCUUGUGCGGCUGAGGAUGGGCCCGCGGCCUAUCAGCUUGUUGGUGGGGUGAUGGCCUACCAAGGCGACGACGGGUAGCCGGCCUGAGAGGGCGA
RNAcentral lists this ribosomal RNA (275 nucleotides) under uncultured bacterium. Its description in RNAcentral is "partial 16S ribosomal RNA". It matches the Rfam family "Bacterial small subunit ribosomal RNA", at positions 28 to 303 of the family's 1533-position model. The record is from RNAcentral.